RNAcentral lists this ribosomal RNA (456 nucleotides) under uncultured bacterium. RNAcentral describes it as "bacterial SSU rRNA". It matches the Rfam family "Bacterial small subunit ribosomal RNA", at positions 8 to 507 of the family's 1533-position model. The record is from RNAcentral.
AGAGUUUGAUCAUGGCUCAGAACGAACGCUGGCGGCAUGCUUAACACAUGCAAGUCAACGGGCGCCUUCGGGCGUUAGUGGCGCACGGGUGAGUAACGCGUGGGAACCUGUCAUGAAGUGGGGAACAACCACUGGAAACGGUGGCUAAUACCGCAUACGCCCUGAGGGGCAAAGGCUUCGGCCGCUUUGUGAGGGGCCCGCGUCCGAUUAGCUAGUUGGUGGGGUAACGGCCUACCAAGGCUACGAUCGGUAGCUGGUCUGAGAGGAUGAUCAGCCACACUGGGACUGAGACACGGCCCAGACUCCUACGGGAGGCAGCAGUGGGGAAUAUUGGACAAUGGGCGAAAGCCUGAUCCAGCAAUGCCGCGUGAGUGAAGAAGGCCUUAGGGUUGUAAAGCUCUUUCGCCUGCGACGAUGAUGACGGUAGCAGGAGAAGAAGCCCCGGCUAAUUCCGUG